UACGUAGGUCCCGAGCGUUGUCCGGAUUUAUUGGGCGUAAAGCGAGCGCAGGUGGUUUAUUAAGUCCGGUGUAAAAGGCAGUGGCUCAACCAUUGUAUGCAUUGGAAACUGGUAGACUUGAGUGCAGGAGAGGAGAGUGGAAUUCCAUGUGUAGCGGUGAAAUGCGUAGAUAUAUGGAGGAACACCGGUGGCGAAAGCGGCUCUCUGGCCUGUAACUGACACUGAGGCUCGAAAGCGUGGGUAGCAAACAGG
RNAcentral lists this ribosomal RNA (252 nucleotides) under uncultured bacterium. Its description in RNAcentral is "partial 16S ribosomal RNA". It matches the Rfam family "Bacterial small subunit ribosomal RNA", at positions 524 to 776 of the family's 1533-position model. The record is from RNAcentral.